This 64-nucleotide transfer RNA is filed under the name Nacolus tuberculatus. Its description in RNAcentral is "tRNA-Arg". The record is from RNAcentral. Lineage: Eukaryota; Metazoa; Arthropoda; Insecta; Hemiptera; Cicadellidae.
AAGCUAGAAGUAAAUAAAUACAUUCAGUUUCGACCUGAAAUAAGUGAAUAAUUCACCACGCUAU